AGCUCUCGUAAUGUAUAGAAUUAUUGUUGCGGUUAAAAAGUUCGUAGUUGGAUUUCAUACCGUUUGCGGGUCGUGCUUAACGGCGCGUACUUGCGACGGUGUUUCCACUAGUGUGAAGCAAUUCGCACCCGUGGGGAUUACUUUGAACGGCUUAAGUGCUCAAGGCGAGUCUUCGGACUGAAUACCGGUGCAUGGAAUAAUGGAACAAGGUUUCGGCUGAGUUU
This 224-nucleotide ribosomal RNA is filed under the name Chromadorea environmental sample. RNAcentral describes it as "partial small subunit ribosomal RNA". It matches the Rfam family "Eukaryotic small subunit ribosomal RNA", at positions 587 to 841 of the family's 1831-position model. Lineage: Eukaryota; Metazoa; Nematoda; Chromadorea. The record is from RNAcentral.